Molecule: ribosomal RNA, 492 nt
Filed under: uncultured bacterium
Lineage: Bacteria
Description: partial 16S ribosomal RNA
Rfam family: Bacterial small subunit ribosomal RNA
Source: RNAcentral
AGUGAACGCUGGCGGUAGGCCUAACACAUGCAAGUCGAACGGCAGCACAGUAAGAGCUUGCUCUUACGGGUGGCGAGUGGCGGACGGGUGAGGAAUACAUCGGAAUCUACUUUUUCGUGGGGGAUAACGUAGGGAAACUUACGCUAAUACCGCAUACGACCUACGGGUGAAAGCAGGGGAUCUUCGUACCUUGCGCGAUUGAAUAAGCCGAUGUCGGAUUAGCUAGUUGGCGGGGUAAAGGCCCACCAAGGCGACGAUCCGUAGCUGAUCUGAGAGGAUGAUCAGCCACACUGGAACUGAGACACGGUCCAGACUCCUACGGGAGGCAGCAGUGGGGAAUAUUGGACAAUGGGCGCAAGCCUGAUCCAGCCAUACCGCGUGGGUGAAGAAGGCCUUCGGGUUGUAAAGCCCUUUUGUUGGGAAAGAAAAGCAGCAGGUUAAUCCCCCGCUGUUCUGACGGUACCCAAAGAAUAAGCACCGGCUAACUUCGUG